Molecule: ribosomal RNA, 421 nt
Filed under: Arthrocardia sp. A_Twist-2019
Lineage: Eukaryota; Rhodophyta; Florideophyceae; Corallinales; Corallinaceae
Description: SSU rRNA
Rfam family: Eukaryotic small subunit ribosomal RNA
Source: RNAcentral
ACCUGGGCGUGCUAAAUAGGGGCUACUACCAUUUUGGUAGUACGUUUUCCCCUUCUUAGACGGACUGUGGGCGUCUAGUCCACGGAAGCUCCAGGCAAUAACAGGUCUGAGAUGCCCUUAGAUGUUCUGGGCCGCACGCGUGCUACACUGAGUGGAUCAGCGGGUCAGGUUGCAUGAAAGUGUUUCCUAAUCUUUAAAUCCGCUCGUGAUGGGGAUUGAUGGUUGCAAUUUUCUGUCAUGAACGAGGAAUACCUUGUAAGCGCGGGUCAUCAUCCCGCGCUGAAUACGUCCCUGCCCUUUGUACACACCGCCCGUCGCUCCUACCGAUUGAGUGAUCCGGUGAGGCUUUGGGAUUGUGAUGGAAAGAGCGAUUCGCUCGUUCCGUCGUGAGAACUCAGUCGAACCUUAUCAUUUAGAGGAA